AUUAAACAAUUGUGGUCAAUAUAGCCUUAGGCAUUUAUAAAACUUUUGAAACUGCAUCGUUUGUUCUUCCUUUCUCAAGUUGUGGCCGUCGAACUCUCUAGCCUUCGUGUUGUCGCCAUCAGCCAUCAGCCAUCAGCAAUCAGCUGCAUCUGUGCUUAUUGAUCAUGGAUAAAAGCUGGAUGCAUGAACCAAAAUUCUCUAAAAGAUAUUUUGAGGGUGUCCAAUCUUUCAUGCAACUUGUUCGUUAUCACUUUGAUAGAAAUUCAAAAGUUCGAUGCCCAUGUCAAGGUUGUUUGAAUGUUUUUGUUCAAACACAAGAAGUAGUGUAUGACCAGCUAUUGAUCAAAGGAAUUAUGGGAAGUUACGUGCAAUGGAUUUACCACGGGGAACAAUCACAAAUGAGAGAUAACAAUAAAUCAAUUUUUUCUGAAGAUGAAAAUGAAGUUCAUGAUAACCAUGAUGGAAUUCACACUAUGUUAGAAGAGACCAGUGGUAGAUCAUUUGUCGAGUUUUCAUAGGAGACGACGGGUAAUAAUGUUUGCGGUAAUAUGAGUGAUAAAGAAGCUAAGAAGUUUGACAAAUUGCUGGAAGAAACAGGACGUGAAUUAUACCCCGGAUGUAAGAAAUUUUCAACGCUUUCGUUUGUUGUGAAGUUAUUACACUUGAAAGUGUACAAUCAUUGGAGUAAUAAAUCAUUAGAUAUGUUGUUGGAGUUUCUUAAAGAGGCAUUGAAUACUAAUGAGACACUUCUGAAGUCAUAUUAGGAUGCUAAAAACAUGUUGCAGGGUUUAGGAUUAGGAUAUAUUUCGAUCCAUGCCUGCAAAAAUGAUUGUGUAUUGUACUGGGCUGAACAUAUAGAUAGGCAGGAGUGUCCACAUUGUGGUACUUCCACGUGGAAAUUGAUAAUGGAAGGAAUAAGAAGAUUCCCCAUGAAUUUAUGCGGUAUUUUCCAUUAAAACCUAGUCUUCAAAGAUUGUUUAUCUCUAGAGAAAACAAUUGUGGACAUGAAGUGGCAUAAAGAAAAACAUCUUGAUGAGGAAAAUGUGUCAAGGCAUCCCGCUGAUUCUGAAGCAUGGAAAGAGUUUGACAAAAUCAUGAGUGGUUUUCACAAGAACCUAGUAAUAUUAGACUUGGUCUUGCAACGGGUGGUUUUAGCCCAUUCGGUAACAUUAGCACAUCAUAUAGCAUGUGGUCUGUCAUUCUUGCUCCUUAUAAUCUACCUCCUUGGAAAUGUUCUAAGGACCCAUUUAUGAUAAUGCCAUUGCUUAUUCUUGUCCUCAAGCACCAGGAAAGAUAUUGAUGUUUAUUUGCGUCCCUUUAUUGAUGAGAUGAAAGAGUUAUGGAGUGAUGGUGUAGAGACAUUUGAUGCAUCAACUAGAAAGUGCUUUAAGAUGCAUGCGGCUGUUUUACGGACCAUAAAUGACUUUCCAGCUUAUGGUAAUCUCUCUGCAUGGAGCACAAAGGGAUACAUGGCAUGUCCUACUUGCAAUAAGGAUGCAUCUUCACAAAAGAUAAGAAGUAAAAUUUGUUACAUGGGUCAUAAUCGGUAUCUUGACCUUGGUCACUCAUGGAGACGAAGCAAGAAAUUCGAUGAGAACAUAAAGAAGAAUUGUUGAAACAAGUUUUGAAUGUAGACGAUAAACACCGAGAACAAUUUCCUUUAUGGUCCAAGAGAAAAAUUGUGCAAUUAUAUGACAAGGAAAAUUCAAUAUCUAUUAAGAAAUUAUAUCCUUUGGCUAUAGGACCUGAUGUGCGUGCAAGAACAUAUACUGGUUGUAUUGUAAAUGGUAUCAGGUUUCAUGUUCAACAAUACGAUAAAUUGCGUAAAAGUCAAAAUUGUGGUAUAGUUUUUGGAGGCUACAAUGAAAAUGAGGUGAUUGAUUUUUAUGGUAUUAUAGUUGACAUCCUUGAGUUAGAGUAUGUUGAGAACAAUCGAGUUCUCCUAUUUAAGUGCAAGUGGUUUGAUCUUUGCAAGAAAACAAGGAUGCAAAAAGAUAAUAAUUUUACGAGCAUUGGUGUUAAAAGAUUUUUGUAUGAACAUGAUUCUUUUGUACUAGCUACUCGAGCUAAACAAGUAUUUAAUAUUGGUUAUCCCAAAUAAGGGGAAAGCUAGCGAAUUGUGCUCAACUUUCAAGAUAGACAUUUAUAUGAUGUGCAUGAAAAGGAAAAUUCAGAGGCAAAAAUUGACGAGUUUCAUGUUACAAAUGCUGAAGUGUAUUAAGAUAUUUCACUUGAAAAAAAUUCAAUAUCGAUGAUAGAGUGGAUAUAUUUAGUGAACUACUUAGAGAUGAUGUUGAUUCGAUUAUCUUAGAUGCAAAUGUAAUUUAAUUGGAGGUUUAAAUAGAACAAGAAGUUGAAAUCACCAUGAAGAUGAUUCUGACUAAGAUGAUGAAACUAUGAUAGAGUACAUCAGUGAUCACGAGGAGUAUGAAGGUAAUAAUAGUACUGAUGAUGAUGAAGUUGAUAGAAAAUGUGAUGGUGGCGACAUUAUUUGUGAUGUAAUCGCAUAAUAGGAUCUUUAUGGACUAAAUGAAGACAAAGAAGAACAAAAUUGCAGGUGACAUUUUGAUGCUUUCUUUAGCUAGAAUGCAUGAGUUGAGAAAUGCACGUGUACAAGCAUUGCUUUUUGUCGGCAAUAAGUUAUUUAUUUGUUAUUGUGCUUUUAUUUAAACUUUUUUGAACUGUUCAUCAGUCAAUUCACUAGAGUUAUGAGUAUUCUUUCAUUAUUAGUGAUUUGUAAUAGACUUUUUUUUGUUUUUGGAGAUGGAUAUAGUAUUAUUAUAAUACUAAUAGAUUGUUGAUGAA
This is a long non-coding RNA of Solanum lycopersicum (tomato), 2805 nucleotides long. RefSeq lists it as uncharacterized. NCBI's taxonomy places the organism in Eukaryota, Viridiplantae, Streptophyta, Magnoliopsida, Solanales, Solanaceae. The record is from RefSeq and is a predicted model, not a curated record.